UGGGGAAUAUUGCACAAUGGGCGAAAGCCUGAUGCAGCAACGCCGCGUGAGUGAUGAAGGUCUUCGGAUUGUAAAGCUCUGUCUUUUGGGACGAUAAUGACGGUACCAAAGGAGGAAGCCACGGCUAACUACGUGCCAGCAGCCGCGGUAAUACGUAGGUGGCGAGCGUUGUCCGGAUUUACUGGGCGUAAAGGGUGCGUAGGCGGAUGUUUAAGUGAGAUGUGAAAUACCCGGGCUUAACUUGGGUGCUGCAUUUCAAACUGGAUAUCUAGAGUGCAGGAGAGGAGAAUGGAAUUCCUAGUGUAGCGGUGAAAUGCGUAGAGAUUAGGAAGAACACCAGUGGCGAAGGCGAUUCUCUGGACUGUAACUGACGCUGAGGCACGAAAGCGUGGGUAGCAAACAGGAUUAGAUACCCUGGUAGUCCACGCCGUAAACGAUGAGUACUA
RNAcentral lists this ribosomal RNA (446 nucleotides) under uncultured bacterium. RNAcentral's name for it is "partial 16S ribosomal RNA". It matches the Rfam family "Bacterial small subunit ribosomal RNA", at positions 355 to 818 of the family's 1533-position model. The record is from RNAcentral.